Molecule: ribosomal RNA, 52 nt
Filed under: Alternaria radicina
Lineage: Eukaryota; Fungi; Ascomycota; Dothideomycetes; Pleosporales; Pleosporaceae
Description: partial 28S ribosomal RNA
Source: RNAcentral
UUUUGACCUCGGAUCAGGUAGGGAUACCCGCUGAACUUAAGCAUAUCAAUAG